Molecule: long non-coding RNA, 501 nt
Filed under: Podarcis muralis (Common wall lizard)
Lineage: Eukaryota; Metazoa; Chordata; Lepidosauria; Squamata; Lacertidae
Description: lncRNA (ENSPMRG00000007797.1)
Source: RNAcentral
GUGGAAGCUGAAAAGCAUCUACUGCUUGGAAAAGCACUAAGAGGCAGACAGAUCCCAACCCACCAGCAAAAUCAUGAAGCCAAGCAGCUUUCUCCUCCUCACUCUGAUGGUCUUCUUUUUGUACUCAGAUGUUGUUGUGAAAGCAACAUGGGAAGCGAAAUAUUGCAAAGGGUAUCCAAAACCAGCAUGCACCCUGGAGUACCUGGCCCACUGCGGUUCUGAUGGCAAGACCUAUGGCAACAGGUGUCUCUUCUGCAAUGCAUAUAUCAAAAGUGGAAGCAAGCUGAAACUGAAAUACUUCGGAAAAUGCAAAAAAGUUUAAGAUGCACAAGACUAUGAAACAUCUGCAAAAGAAGUCCCAUUUCUCUUUAAAGCUUCACUCAUCGCAUCACCACAAAAAAGAAAUCCAUUCUUCUCUUUGCUUAUCCUCUGUGAGCCAGUGAAUAUCUCACAACAUCUUGAUUCGGUUUAUCAAUAAAUAAGCUCAGCAACAUUAUCAAA